CUAACGCUUUAAAGCAUCCCCGCCCUGGAGAGUACGGUCGCAAGAUUAAAACUCAAAGGAAUUUGACGGGGGCCCGCACAAGCGGUGGAGCAUGUGGUUCAAUUCGAAGCAACGCGCAGAACCUUACCAGCCCUUGACAUGUCCUCUAUGGAUUCCAGAGACGGAGUCCUUCACUUCGGGUGGGAGGAACACAGGUGCUGCAUGGCUGUCGUCAGCUCGUGUCGUGAGAUGUUGGGUUAAGUCCCGCAACGAGCGCAACCCUCGCCCUUAGUUGCCAUCAUUUAGUUGGGCACUCUAAGGGGACUGCCGGUGAUAAGCCGGAGGAAGGUGGGGAUGACGUCAAGUCCUCAUGGCCCUUACGGGCUGGGCUACACACGUGCUACAAUGGCGGUGACAGAGGGAUGCAAAGGGGCAACCCUUCGCAAAUCUCAAAAAUCCGUCUCAGUUCGGAUUGGGGUCUGCAACUCGACCCCAUGAAGUUGGAAUCGCUAGUAAUCGCAGAUCAGCACGCUGCGGUGAAUACGUUCCCGGGCCUUGUACACACCGCCCGUCACACCAUGGGAGUUGGCUUUACCUGAAGACGGUGCGCUAACCGCAAGGAGGCAGCCGGCCACGGUAGGGUCAGCGACUGGGGUGAAGUCGUAACAAGGUAGCCGUAGGGGAACCUGCGGCUGGAUCACCUCCUUAAUCGGAUCCCGGGCCCGUCGACUGCC
This 713-nucleotide ribosomal RNA is filed under the name uncultured bacterium. RNAcentral describes it as "bacterial SSU rRNA". It matches the Rfam family "Bacterial small subunit ribosomal RNA", at positions 852 to 1533 of the family's 1533-position model. The record is from RNAcentral.